AAAAGCAGUCAUUAAAACAGAGAAUGCAAAAGCAUUUGAAUAACUUUGUUUUUUUAAGUACUUUAAAUGAGUCUUUAGUUCAAGGCGCAUGCAACUGUUUCUUUGCAGCACGCGUUGAAUGUAACGUGCUUGGCGCGUUCUCGCAACGAAGAUUUACGCAAGAUUUUGCAUUUACGCUGUUUACGUAGCGAACUUCUCUAGACGACCUAUUUUAGCUGCAUUUUAGCAACAGCGCCCUCUAAGGUCACAACAUAAGAUAGGUCACAGAUUUCGGUGUCACACCUUAUACUUAUUCCUAGUACAAGUUUAUUGAAUUAACCGGUUCUUUAUUACUUUCUCUUAAGCCGCUUCGGUGCUUUUUUAAAUUAAUCUGUUUUUACCGGUUAUCCAUGGACUGUUAUUUGUAUUGUGUUUCUUUUUUUUUGUUUCCUUUGUUUUUAUGAGCGUGGGUUUACCGCAUAUAUAUAUUCACCUACGACUAUCGGACGACGAACUGUGAUUAGUGGGUGUUAACAGAGGGAGUGUAUAUUUCUUAUUUUUGGUUUAUCCCUUUUUAUUGGUUUAUCAAUGUGUUAACUAUUAUGCACUGCUUUGUGUGGUUUGUCCCUUCUGUAAAGGCGGACCUAAUCUAGUUUAUUCUCAAUUGUCGGUAACUAAUCGGUAAACUGUACAUGAUAUCCUUUUUUUUAAGAGUAAUUUUUUUAAAAGUAUUUUUAAGAGCAAACGAUUUUCUUUUUUGUAAAAUAAAGUUGUACUAAUUUUUUUGGAAAGUCACGUCUGUCUUCAAUCCCAUCCGAACCAGCUGGGUCCUUCAUAUUAUUGUAACUUUUUUUGGUUUAACUUAUUUUUCAUAGUAACCCAGGUGGCGUAGUCGGUUCUUUUCCAUUCUCAAUACCUUAACCAGAAAGGUUACACAUGCUUUGCCGCUCUGCCGGCGUCCCCACUGGAGGCCUCAAGUUUCUCAAGAUCAUUAUGCAGAGUGUACAUUUCCCCCCAUGGUACUCCCUAAAUACUGUACCAUCAGCAUGUGGACUUUGCAACAAGGAGAGAACCCGCUGGAUCUUGUUUGCAUAAACAUUGUGUAAUAUCGGAGCCCUACCCCCACCUUGGCUACUCAGACCACAUCUCUGUUAUGCUAAUUCCAGCAUACAGGCUGAUCGUCAGACGCUUUAACCCAAUUUUAAAUCAGAUACCACAGCUUCUGAUCAGAUCUCAGCAUGUCUGGCAGAAAUUUCAUCAUGGAUGACUGC
Tachysurus fulvidraco (yellow catfish) is the source of this 1250-nucleotide long non-coding RNA. RefSeq lists it as uncharacterized. The transcript has 3 exons. NCBI's taxonomy places the organism in Eukaryota, Metazoa, Chordata, Actinopteri, Siluriformes, Bagridae. The record is from RefSeq and is a predicted model, not a curated record.